CUUCCCGCGGGGCCGCUGCCCGCCGGGUCCCGCACCGCAGCCCCGGGCCCCGCCGCCGCCCCAGCUGCAGGCCGCGGGACCGGGGGCUGUCACCGCACAUAGCGCUUCUCCGCAGCCCGCACGCCCUCGGGCCCGGCACCCGAGAAAAGCAGUGGGGGCUCCCAGCCCUUCCCCCGCCCCGGAGCAUCGCCCCGGAGCAUCGCCCCGUACCGGCGACAGACCCCGAGGUCCCCAGGCGAGACCCGCACCCCGCGGGUGACCCAGCGGCCCUACCCGCUCCCCGCAGCCCCCAGGCCGGGCUGCCCUUCCCCGCCGCCCCUCCUUCCCGGGCGGCGAUGCUGAAUCACCACGGGUAGCCGCUCCGCCGCCUCUCCCCGCGGCCGGCAGCCUGUUCCCCGCGGGGCAGCGGGUGAGGAGAAGCGUCGCCGGAGAGGGCGAGCUGCUCUCUCUCCGUUACCUGACAGGGCGGGGGAGCGAGAGGCCCCCGGGCGCUCCGGUCCUCCCGGGAAGGGCGGGGGCAGGCUGGGCCGGGCGGCGCCUCACGGGCGGCGCAGCGGGGCUCUCCCGGUCGGCAGCAUCCGAACCGGCGCCUGCCGAGCCGGGGACUAGCGGGAGGAGGAGCGGGAGGUUACGGCGGGGAGCCGGGAAGAAACCAUUCCCCGCGAGGGGGCACCGCCGGCGGCCGGGCAGGCGGGGCGGGGAGGACGGGCCCUCCCACACAGGGAGAAGCUGGCCUCUCUGAGGGGUUCUGCUGCUCACCCAGUACCUCCUCCAGCCUUUCUCCCCUCUCCUCCCCUGAAAUCCCAGCUGCCGUGGUUCUGCCGCUCUCCAACACCACUGAAACCUUCAGAAGCCUCUGUCUUCAUCUCUCUGUCUCACCCUGAGACAUACGGAUGAAAAAGCACUGCAUAGAUGGUAAGUGUUGGCAUUGACUGUAUUACUAAUACCUGCACGUUAAAGGAUCAUUAUAUAAAACAUUUCCCUGCCCCUUCCAACAGGUGGAAGAUAGAAGGGAAACAUCCCUCCCCUGUCCUCCAUAGGGAGAGUGCUUGUAACGGAAGGAGGACAACGUAACCUGCAUUUAUCAUUCCUAAGAAAUUAUAGGAAUAAAUUGUUUACCCAGGAGAACCA
Molecule: long non-coding RNA, 1131 nt
Filed under: Calidris pugnax (ruff)
Lineage: Eukaryota; Metazoa; Chordata; Aves; Charadriiformes; Scolopacidae
Description: lncRNA (ENSCPUG00000003281.1)
Source: RNAcentral